UUGCCCUACCUUGCUGGGCUUUAACUGCAAGGGUGCCCCCGCGCGCGGAGUGGCCGCGCAUUUAGAAGUAAAAUCCAGGGGCGGGAAAGGAAG
RNAcentral lists this non-coding RNA (93 nucleotides) under human gut metagenome. Its description in RNAcentral is "GP20-a RNA". It matches the Rfam family "GP20-a RNA". From Rfam's summary of the family: gut metagenomes. Environment (Cow rumen (57)) The record is from RNAcentral.